This 440-nucleotide ribosomal RNA is filed under the name uncultured bacterium. Its description in RNAcentral is "partial 16S ribosomal RNA". It matches the Rfam family "Bacterial small subunit ribosomal RNA", at positions 338 to 795 of the family's 1533-position model. The record is from RNAcentral.
CCUACGGGAGGCAGCAGUGGGGAAUAUUGCACAAUGGGGGAAACCCUGAUGCAGCGACGCCGCGUGAGUGAAGAAGUAUCUCGGUACGUAAAGCUCUAUCAGCAGGGAAGAUAAUGACGGAACCUGACAAAGAAGCCCCGGCUAACUACGUGCCAGAAGCCGCGGUAAUACGUAGGGGGCAAGCGUUAUCCGGAUUUACUGGGUGGAAAGGGAGCGUAGACGGCAGCACAAGUCUGGAGUGAAAUCCCAGGGCUUAACCCCGGCACUGCUUUGGAAACUGUUGAACUGGAGUACAGUAGAGUGAAGCGGAAUUCCUAGUGUAGCGGUGAAAUGCGUAGAUAUUAGGAGGAACACCAGUGGCGCAGGCGGCUUACUGGACUGUAACUGACGUUGAGGCUCGAAAGCGUGGGGAGCAAACAGGAUUAGAUACCCGUGUAGUC